This 713-nucleotide unclassified non-coding RNA is filed under the name uncultured Prochlorococcus sp. RNAcentral's name for it is "partial may contain 16S ribosomal RNA, 16S-23S ribosomal RNA intergenic spacer, and 23S ribosomal RNA". The stretch from base 329 to 401 matches the Rfam family "tRNA". Lineage: Bacteria; Bacillati; Cyanobacteriota; Cyanophyceae; Synechococcales; Prochlorococcaceae. The record is from RNAcentral.
CGCCGAAGGUGGGGCUGAUGACUGGGGUGAAGUCGUAACAAGGUAGCCGUACCGGAAGGUGCGGCUGGAUCACCUCCUAACAGGGAGACAAUUAAUAGAUUGUGAUGUCUAUGUUAAUUAUUCUUAGGCCGCAAUCCUGUCACCUUAGGUCGAUCGGUACCUCAGAUUUUUUAAUUAAUUUUAGAGUUAAUAAGAAAAUUUCAGUUCCUAAACUUGUCUAGGUCACAACCAACAUGUUUUCUCCUGGGCCAUUAGCUCAGGUGGUUAGAGCGCACCCCUGAUAAGGGUGAGGUCCCUGGUUCAAGUCCAGGAUGGCCCAUUCGUUGUUGGGGGUAUAGCUCAGUUGGUAGAGCGCCUGCUUUGCAAGCAGGAUGUCAGCGGUUCGAGUCCGCUUACCUCCACUGAAAACUAACCUGACAACUUAAAUUUCAGGAUUAAACUUUUAAAUGUGACUUAGAUUUGUCUAACUGAAAAGAACCUAGCUUCUUAUCAUCUAUCUGAGUUGAUAAUAUGCUGGGUUUACAUGGAAUUUUCCAUGGGAAUUCAGUAGAACCUUGAAAACUGCAUAGUAUUGAAAGAAUAAAGCAUCUCAUGGAUGCAUAAUUUUGAGAUUUUUAUCUUAUAACUAAGUAAAAAAUUUCAAGAUUCAUGUUUAAUUCUUGAGUAAUAGCCGAGCACAAUUUAAUUUGUGUUUGUAUGUAAGGUCAAGCUAC